AGCAUUCAGUUGGGCGACUCUAAGGAGGACGUGCCGGUGUCAAACCGGAGGAAGUGGGGAUGACGUCAAGUCCUCAUGGCCCUUAUGUCCAGGGCUACACACGUGCUACAAUGGCCGGUACAAAGGGGCGCAAGACCGCGAGGUGGAGACAAAUCCCAAAAAACCGGUCUCAGUUCGGAUUGGAGUCUGCAACUCGACUCCAUGAAGUUGGAAUCGCUAGUAAUCGCGUAUCAGCAUGACGCGGUCGAAUACGUUCCCGGGCCUU
This 265-nucleotide ribosomal RNA is filed under the name uncultured Desulfuromonas sp. RNAcentral describes it as "partial 16S ribosomal RNA". It matches the Rfam family "Bacterial small subunit ribosomal RNA", at positions 1117 to 1382 of the family's 1533-position model. Lineage: Bacteria; Pseudomonadati; Thermodesulfobacteriota; Desulfuromonadia; Desulfuromonadales; Desulfuromonadaceae. The record is from RNAcentral.